ACCGAAAAUCGGAGUUGUGGUCUAGAGAAGGUAAUGGGAGGAAGAUGUCUCUAGUAAAGUGACCUGGAAAGGUCCGCCGUGGAGGGUGAUAGCCCCGUUCGUACUAGAGAGGUCAACUAUUCUAUGCCUUCGAAGAGUCGAGUUGUUUGGGAAUGCAGCUCUAAUAGGUGGUAAAUUCCAUCUAAAGCUAAAUAUGGAAGAGAGACCGAUAGCAAACAAGUACCGUGAGGGAAAGAUGAAAAGAACUUUGAAAAAAGAGUGAAAGAGUACCUGAAAUUGCUGAAAAGAAACAGAUGCAAAGCAGUGUCUUCUUGGGAAGUCUCGAGCGAAGGACCUUUCCAAAAUGCUUUGCAUCAACCCGUCUUGAAACACGGACCAAGGAGUCUAACAUGUGUGCGAGUGUUUGGGGUUAAUCCCUAGCGCGAAAUGAAAGUAAAAAACCGCACUAUCGACCGACCAUGAUCCUUCGGGUGAAAGGUUUGAGUAUGAGCACAUAUGUUGGGACCCGAAAGAUGGUGAACUAUGCCUGAGUAGAACGAAGCCAGGGGAAACUCUGGUGGAGGUUCGUAGCGGUUCU
Molecule: ribosomal RNA, 577 nt
Filed under: Chrysophyceae sp.
Lineage: Eukaryota; Chrysophyceae
Description: eukaryotic LSU rRNA
Rfam family: Eukaryotic large subunit ribosomal RNA
Source: RNAcentral